RNA transcript from Phoenix dactylifera (date palm), 4035 nucleotides. It is a transcript of the gene named Tetratricopeptide repeat (TPR)-like superfamily protein, with no coding region annotated. NCBI's taxonomy places the organism in Eukaryota, Viridiplantae, Streptophyta, Magnoliopsida, Arecales, Arecaceae. The record is from RefSeq and is a predicted model, not a curated record.
CCUUUCCCCCUCCUUUCUCGAAAACCCCCCAUUCUGCCCAGGAUGAAGCCCUCUUCCUCCUUCCAGUCCGUCACUCGUCCCUCCGCCGCCAGCCUCCUCUCAGCCCAUCCGUGUCCAUCCCUUUCCGAUUCCGUCCGUCGCCGGCGGUUCUCCGAGACGGUGAUCCGUUUGUCCUCCUCUCUGUCUUUCCCCUAAUCUAUUUUCUUCUUUCUCUUCCUUCCUCCGGCGUCCGGCGUCCACGAAUCUAUUGCUCUGUCUCCCCCUCUUUCUGAAACCCUAGGAGUUUAUUAUUAUUAUUAUUAUUAUUAUUAUAUAUUUCUCUACAUCCCAUCUCCACCGUCCAUCCCCUAGGUUUUCUGACCGAUGGCGACGGCGGCGACGAUGCCGGCGUUGGGGGCGGGGAUCUCGCCGGACCUCUACCCCAGCGAGGACGACCUCGUCUACGAGGAGGAGAUCCUCCGCAACCCCUUCAGCCUGAAGCUGUGGUGGCGCUACCUGGUGGCCCGCGCCGACGCCCCCUUCAAGAAACGGUCGGUGAUCUACGAGCGCGCCCUCAAGGCCCUCCCGGGGUCCUACAAGCUCUGGCACGCCUACCUCCGCGAGCGCCUCGACCUCGUCCGCUCCCUCCCCAUCUCCCAGCCGGCCUACGAGUCCCUCAACAACACCUUCGAGCGCGCCCUCGUCACCAUGCACAAGAUGCCCCGCAUCUGGAUCAUGUACUUGACCUCCCUCACCGAGCAGCGCCUCCUCACCCGCGCCCGCCGGACCUUCGACCGCGCCCUCCGCGCCCUCCCCGUCACCCAGCACGACCGCAUCUGGGCCCCCUACCUCGCCCUCGUCUCCCUCCCCGGCGUCCCCGUCGAGACCUCCCUCCGCGUCUACCGCCGCUACCUCCUCUUCGACCCCUCCCACAUCGAGGACUUUAUCGACUUCCUCAUCACCUCCCAACGCUGGCAGGAGGCCGCCGAGCGGUUGGCCUCCGUCCUUAACGACGACUCCUUCCACUCCAUCAAGGGCAAGACUCGCCACCAGCUCUGGCUCGAGCUCUGCGACCUCCUCACCCGCCACGCCACCGAGGUCUCCGGACUCAAGGUCGAUGCCAUCAUCCGUGGCGGCAUCCGGCGCUUCACCGACGAGGUCGGCCGCCUCUGGACGUCCCUCGCCGAUUACUACGUCCGCCGGGGGCUCUACGAGAAGGCCCGUGAUAUCUUCGAGGAGGGCCUCACCACCGUAACUACUGUGAGGGAUUUCAGCGUCAUCUUCGAGUCCUAUGCCCAGUUCGAGCAGAGCGCGCUCUCUGCAAAGCUCGAGACGGUCGAGGUCUCGGAUGACGAGGGAGACCCGGACGAGGAGAACGGCAAAGAUGGCGUCACGAAGCUUACGAAGAAAUUCCUUCAUGGCUUCUGGUUGAAUGACGAUGACGAUGUGGAUCUCAGGUUGGCUAGGUACGAGAACCUCUUGGAAAGGAGGCCGGAGCUCCUCAACAGCGUGAUCUUGAGGCAGAAUCCUCACAAUGUGAAGGAGUGGCACAACCGAGUAAAGCUUUUCGAGGGCAAUCCUGCAAGGCAAGUGUUGACUUAUACAGAAGCAGUGAGAACUGUGGAUCCCAUGAAAGCGGUGGGGAAACCCCACACUUUGUGGGUUGCUUUUGCAAAGCUGUAUGAGAGCCACAAUGAUCUCGAGAAUGCUACAAAGAUAUUCGAGAAGGCUGUACAAGUCAAUUACAAGACAGUUGAUAAUCUGGCUAGUGUGUGGUGUGAAUGGGCAGAAAUGGAGCUGAGGCACAAGAACUUUAAGAAGGCACUGGAACUUAUGAGGCGGGCGACUGCAGAGCCCUCUGUCGAGGUCAAGCGGAGAGUUGCUGCUGAUGGGAAUGAGCCGGUGCAGAUAAAGUUGCAUAAAUCUUUGAGGCUGUGGAGCUUUUAUGUGGAUUUGGAGGAGAGCUUAGGAAUGUUAGAAUCCACUCGUGCUGUUUAUGAGAGAAUACUUGAUUUGAGAAUAGCUACCCCACAAAUCAUACUUAACUAUGCUUUUCUUCUUGAGGAGCACAAAUACUUUGAGGAUGCAUUUAAGGUGUAUGAAAGAGGUGUAAAGAUUUUUAAAUACCCACAUGUUAGAGAUAUAUGGGUCACUUACCUCUCCAAAUUUGUGAAAAGAUAUGGAAAAACCAAGCUAGAACGGGCAAGAGAACUAUUUGAGCAUGCAGUUGAAAAGGCACCUUCAGAAGAUGUGAAACCCCUAUAUCUGCAAUAUGCUAAACUGGAGGAAGAUUAUGGGCUUGCAAAGCGUGCAAUGAAAGUUUAUGAUCAAGCAGUGAAGGCCGUUCCUAAUAGUGAAAAAUUGAACAUGUAUGAAAUUUACAUUGCUCGAGCUGCCGCAUUUUUUGGUGUUCCAAGAACAAGGGAGAUAUAUGAGCAAGCCAUUGAAUCCGGUCUCCCUGAUAAGGAUGUGAAAACAAUGUGCAUGAGAUAUGCCGAACUUGAAAGGAGCCUAGGAGAAAUUGAUCGUGCCCGUGCCAUAUAUGUAUUUGCAUCACAGUAUGCAGAUCCACGGUCUGAUCCUGAUUUCUGGAAAAAAUGGAAAGAUUUUGAGAUACAACAUGGUAACGAGGAUACCUUUAGAGAAAUGCUUCGUAUCAGCCGUAGUGUCUCAGCGAGCUACAGCCAGACACAUUUCAUCCUCCCUGAGUACUUGAUGCAAAAGGAUCAGAAGCUAAAUCUAGAAGAAGCUGUGGACACUCUAAAGCGUGCUGGGGUUCCAGAAGAUGAAAUGGCUGCUUUAGAAAGGCAAUUGGCUCCUGCACCUGCUAAGGUACCUGCUAGUGAUGGUGACAGAGUGAUGAACUUUGUUAGUGCUGGGGUAGAGUCACAGCCUGAUGGGAGGAAGGUUACUGCAAAUAGUGAGGAUAUCGAAUUGCCAGAGGAAAGUGACUCUGAGGAUGAGAACAUUGAAAUAGCCCAAAAGGAUGUUCCUGCUGCUGUAUUUGGAGAGCUUGCCCACACGGCUGCUGAAGAUCAGGAUAAAGGUGCUGCUGCUGAGGAUAAUGGGAGCAACAGUCAUUUAGGUGCCCUUGAGAGAAUAAAAAGGCAAAGGCGACAGUAGAGUCGCCAUACUGAGACUACAUCAAUCUCAUAUGUCAAAGGGGCUUAUUACUUACCAAACAAAUCCUUGGCCAAGUCGAACGAGACGAUCUAUCCACCUAUCCGUAUUGACACCAAUCCAACAAUUCCAUCUUUGAAAUGCUCUUAGACAUGUGAUCCGCAGCAAAGCUCUGUCUGGAGGGAUGUUGUUUGCACGGUCAGCUUAUUUGUUUCAAUGAAAUGAGGGUUAGGUGCGAGGCGUUUCAUCAGCGAUAUAAUAUUGCUUCAUUUUGUAGUAGGGGAAGCUGAUUGUUUCUGUUCCUUCAGAAUAAUUUAAACAAUAUAUCACAUUUGAAGAUAUAUGUUCUGUGUUAGGUUGUUGGAUAUAAGGAAAAUGUUAAAACAAUUCACAGCCAUCUCAGACAUUAGAAGAAGCAGGGUUGAGCCGCCUGAGGGAUUGCAGUAAGGUGUGAAGGGCCCCAUGGCUGGGUUGCAGGAUUGGCAGUGAAUCAGAUAGCCAAAACAUGGUUUCUUCAGGGUAUUUUUGAGGGUUGUAGUUGUGCAUUAAUUUACAUCGCAGUAAAGUGAGUGCGCAUAAAAGACUUCAUGAGAGUUGCACUGGGCUCUUGGCUCAGGUUGAAGUUUCCAAGGAUGUCUAGCUUGGAGGUUACGGGUUGUUAAUGUACUUUUAUUUCCUUCUGUUAUUGUUGUCACUGUAUCCGGAACAAAGGUGUGGAAUUCUAUUAUGGGAGGAGGAUUCUGGGAAUUGAGGGGUUAUCUAGGCUGGGUUUGGAACUUCAAAAGGAACUUGAAUUAUGUUGGAAUUAACAAGAGAUUUCUUUUAGUCCACUAUUUGAGUGGUCAACGAGGAUUACUCACUUCUUUAUAGCGUGAAGAUCAAAUCCCUAUAUAACCUUUUGCCCUAUUGCAUGUAACAGGGUUUAUGUUGCACUCA